RNAcentral lists this ribosomal RNA (403 nucleotides) under Actinomycetes bacterium. RNAcentral describes it as "Actinobacteria bacterium partial 16S ribosomal RNA". It matches the Rfam family "Bacterial small subunit ribosomal RNA", at positions 355 to 776 of the family's 1533-position model. Lineage: Bacteria; Bacillati; Actinomycetota; Actinomycetes. The record is from RNAcentral.
UGGGGAAUAUUGCACAAUGGGGGAAACCCUGAUGCAGCGACGCCGCGUGAACGAAGAAGGUAUUCGUAUCGUAAAGUUCUUUCCUAUGGGAAGAUAAUGACAGUACCAUAGAAGAAAGCUCCGGCUAAAUACGUGCCAGCAGCCGCGGUAAUACGUAUGGAGCGAGCGUUGUCCGGAAUUAUUGGGCGUAAAGGGUACGCAGGCGGUUUAAUAAGUCGAAUGUUAAAGAUCGGGGCUCAACCCCGUAAAGCAUUGGAAACUGAUAAACUUGAGUAGUGGAGAGGAAAGUGGAAUUCCUAGUGUAGUGGUGAAAUACGUAGAUAUUAGGAGGAAUACCAGUAGCGAAGGCGACUUUCUGGACACAAACUGACGCUGAGGUACGAAAGCGUGGGGAGCAAACAGG